This 586-nucleotide ribosomal RNA is filed under the name Fomitopsis massoniana. RNAcentral describes it as "partial small subunit ribosomal RNA". It matches the Rfam family "Bacterial small subunit ribosomal RNA", at positions 370 to 942 of the family's 1533-position model. The record is from RNAcentral. Lineage: Eukaryota; Fungi; Basidiomycota; Agaricomycetes; Polyporales; Fomitopsidaceae.
AAUGCUCGCAAGAGUGAACUAGCUAACUGAAAUCACUAAUUGAUCUUAUCAAUGUGAUAUAGUAAGGGAAAACAAAUGAUAUUACUUUACUUAUAGUGUUGUCUAAUUCUGGUGCCAGAAGACUCGGUAAUACCAGUAACGCGAACGUUAGUCAUCUUUAUCAGGCGUAAAGGGUUUGUAGGCAGCUUUUAAAAAAAAUUCUUAACUAUAUUGUCCUUUUUUAUUUUUUUUUUUAUUAAAAAAAAAGACAAAAAAGGAAUAAAUAGUUAAGUCUCUAAUUUGAGAGCUAGAAUCAAAUAGAAGUUAAAAAGUAUAAUACUUAGAGAAGGGUUGAUAUUCUUAGAACCUAAGGGGAAUACUAAAGGUGUAAACAACUAACUAUAAAUGAUUGACGCUGAGACACGAAGGUGAGGAUAGGAAAUAGGAUUAGAUACCCCGGUACCCCUCUCUGUAAACGAUGAAUGGUAGUUAUUAGUGUAUUACUGGUAACGAAGCUAACGCGUUAACCAUUCCGCCUUGGGAGUACGAUUGCAAAGUUGAAAACAAAAAAAUUAGUCGGUCUCGGAGCAAACGGAGUGAAGCAUGU